GGAUCCUGCUGCUUCCCGCAGGCAGUGUUCUUAUACUGACUGUGUAGAGAGUAGAAGCAAAAUAAGCCUACCCAUGUACACCUGAGUCUAGCCCACUGUGCCUGGUCUGUAUUGUGACUGGGGAGACAUGG
Jaculus jaculus (lesser Egyptian jerboa) is the source of this 131-nucleotide small nucleolar RNA. The record is from Ensembl. Lineage: Eukaryota; Metazoa; Chordata; Mammalia; Rodentia; Dipodidae.